RNAcentral lists this ribosomal RNA (468 nucleotides) under uncultured bacterium. RNAcentral describes it as "partial 16S ribosomal RNA". It matches the Rfam family "Bacterial small subunit ribosomal RNA", at positions 28 to 507 of the family's 1533-position model. The record is from RNAcentral.
GACGAACGCUGGCGGCGUGCUUAACACAUGCAAGUCGAACGGAAAGGCCCUGCUUUUGUGGGGUGCUCGAGUGGCGAACGGGUGAGUAACACGUGAGUAACCUGCCCUUGACUUUGGGAUAACUUCAGGAAACUGGGGCUAAUACCGGAUAGGAGCUCCUGCUGCAUGGUGGGGGUUGGAAAGUUUCGGCGGUUGGGGAUGGACUCGCGGCUUAUCAGCUUGUUGGUGGGGUAGUGGCUUACCAAGGCUUUGACGGGUAGCCGGCCUGAGAGGGUGACCGGCCACAUUGGGACUGAGAUAGGGCCCAGACUCCUACGGGAGGCAGCAGUGGGGAAUAUUGCACAAUGGGCGGAAGCCUGAUGCAGCAACGCCGCGUGCGGGAUGACGGCCUUCGGGUUGUAAACCGCUUUCGCCUGUGACGAAGCGUGAGUGACGGUAAUGGGUAAAGAAGCACCGGCUAACUACGUG